AGCGGGUGGAAUUCCACCCGCUCGAUGAAUCCCCCGUGCUCGUGACCCGGUCGAUGGAUCUCCCGGCGCUCGAGACUCUUCCCCUCCCCCGCUCGACUUUCCCCCUCAUUUCCUCUCUCUGCCCGCAGCGAACGCCCGCAGCUCCUCUUGCUCACUGUCUUUGGCCGCUCCCACCGUCGCCGCUCCGCCGCCGCCGUUCCGCUCCUCUGCCGGUGAUCUUUCCCCCUUUCUCUCUUGCUCUCUGAUGCCCUCGUCUUCUCCCAAAUCAGUGCCUUAAUCACCGUCGCUGCAACGCCUCCAAGAAAGUCCCCUGGCUUCCAUAUCCCACAAAGAGAUCAGUCCAAGCACGGUCGUUCUGCUCUCUCUGCUGCUAUCUUUAGCGGGAGCGGUCUUCCGGUGUCCAGCCGAAGGUUCUCACGCAGUUCUGAAGCUCAAUGUGACUUGCCACAAAUGCGGAGAACAGUUUGGAAAGUGGGAGGCUCUAGAUCGCGUCUUCUAAUACAGUGGAUGAAGUUACUGAGCUGGUUGAAGGUGAUUCAUCUAGAAAGAUUGUGGAGAUUAUCUGCAGGACAAGCUGGUUGAAGUCGGAGAGCCACUGUGGUAGAAUAGAAAGGGUUUUAAAAGUUCAUAACAUGCAAAAGACACUUGCUCGUUUCGAAGAAUACAGAGAAAUGGUGAAGAUAAAAGCCAUCAAGUUGCCAAAGAAACAUCCACGUUGCCUUGCUGAUGGCAAUGAAUUGUUGAGAUUUUAUGGCACCACUGUCACAUGCUCGUUAAGCAUGAACGGCUUGUCCAACCUCUGCAUAUCUGAAAAAUGUAGUGUAUGCAGGAUUAUCAGACAUGGGUUUUCUACAAAGAAGGAAAUUAAAAGAGGAAUUGGAGUC
Molecule: long non-coding RNA, 884 nt
Organism: Nymphaea colorata (pocket water lily)
Lineage: Eukaryota; Viridiplantae; Streptophyta; Magnoliopsida; Nymphaeales; Nymphaeaceae
Exons: 2
Source: RefSeq, a predicted model, not a curated record